GUCCCUUGAGGACAUCCGAUAAAAUUAGAAUGAUACAAAGAAGAUUAGCAUGACCCUUGCACAAGGAUGAAAACCCACAAAAUGAGAACACUCUACGUUUUU
This is a small nuclear RNA of Lycium ferocissimum, 102 nucleotides long. The record is from RefSeq and is a predicted model, not a curated record. NCBI's taxonomy places the organism in Eukaryota, Viridiplantae, Streptophyta, Magnoliopsida, Solanales, Solanaceae.